CCUGGCUCAGGAUUAGAUACCCUGAGAGUCAUGAGUUUUAUCCUGGCUCAGGACGAAACACCCUGGUGGGCGUGCUUAACACCAUGCAAGUCGAACGGGGAAGCUUCCCUGCUUGCAGGGGUGGAUCAGUGGCGAACCGGGUGAGUAACACGUGAGCAAACCUGCCCUCCACUUCGGGAUAAGCCUUGGAACGGGGUCUAAUACCGGGAUAUGAGCACUCACUGCAUGGUGGGUGUUGGAAAGUUUUUCGUGGGGGAUGGGCUCGCGGCCUAUCAGCUUGUUGGUGGGGUAAUGGCCUACCAAGGCGUCGACGGGUAGCCGGCCUGAGAGGGCGACCGGCCACACUGGGACUGAGACACGGCCCAGACUCCUACGGGAGGCAGCAGUGGGGAAUAUUGCACAAUGGGCGAAAGCCUGAUGCAGCGACGCCACGUGAGGGAUGACGGCCUUCGGGUUGUAAACCUCUUUCAGCAGGGAAGAAGCGCAAGUGACGGUACCUGCAGAAGAAGCGCCGGCUAACUACGUGCCAGCAGCCGCGGUAAUACGUAGGGCGCAAGCGUUGUCCGGAAUUAUUGGGCGUAAAGAGCUCGUAGGCGGUCUGUCGCGUCUGGUGUGAAAUCUCAUGGCUCAACUGUGAGCUUGCAUCGGGCCCGGGCAGCCUCGAGUUCCGUAGGGAAAACCCUUAUUAGUCGUGAAUCUGAUCAGGGCGCAGGUUUAAAUACCCUGGUAGUCCUGAGUUUGAUCCGGGCUCAGGAUUAGAUACCCUGGUAGUC
RNAcentral lists this ribosomal RNA (773 nucleotides) under Cellulomonas sp. R659. Its description in RNAcentral is "bacterial SSU rRNA". It matches the Rfam family "Bacterial small subunit ribosomal RNA", at positions 1 to 795 of the family's 1533-position model. The record is from RNAcentral. Lineage: Bacteria; Bacillati; Actinomycetota; Actinomycetes; Micrococcales; Cellulomonadaceae.